Lipotes vexillifer (Yangtze River dolphin) is the source of this 5233-nucleotide non-coding RNA. Lineage: Eukaryota; Metazoa; Chordata; Mammalia; Artiodactyla; Lipotidae. The record is from RefSeq and is a predicted model, not a curated record.
CAAGAUACAUCACGUGAUGUGAGAAAUUUUCACGACCUGGAUAUCAUCAUUUGUGGGGACAUCACUGCCUGGAGACUAAGAUUUCUAACCAGAAAUUUAGGGCAGUUCAAGAAGAGGCUCAGGAGACAUCCUAGCUUUGGCUGUUUCCCAAUAACAGAUGAAAAUGAUCAAGGACCAGGGAUCGCUGACACUGGAGGAUGUGGCCGUGGACUUCACGUGGGAGGAGUGGCAGCUCCUGGCCCCUGCUCAGAAGGACCUGUACCGGGACGUGAUGCUGGAGAACUAUAGCAACCUGCUGUCCGUUGGGUAUCAAGCCAGCAAGCCGGAUGCUCUCUCCAAAUUGGAACGAGGAGAACCGUGGCCAGUAGAAGAUGAAAUCCACAGUCGAAUCUGUCCAGAAAUGAGGAAAGAUGACUGUCUUCUGCAGGAGGACUUGCAAAAUCAAAGAUGUCCAAAAAGAAUGGAACAAUGUCACAAACAUAAUGCACUUGGAAACAUUGUUCAUCAGAGCAAAAGUAACUUUCCUUUAAGGCAAAAUCAUGAUAUGUUGGACUUUCGUGGGAAAACACUGAAAUCAAAUUUAAGUUUAGUCAACCAGAACAGAAGCUAUGGAGUAAAGAACCCUCUUGGAGAUGGGGAAUCCUUCCUCCAUGCAAAGCAUGAGCAAUUUCAUAGUGAAAUGAAAUUUACUGAAUGUGGAAGUUCUGUGAACACAAAUUCACAGUUCAUUAAGCAUCUAGGAACUCAGAAGAUAAAUAAAUCCCACUUAUGCACUGAAUGUGGGAAAGCUUUCAUCAAGAAGUCCCGCCUCAUCAAUCAUCAUAGAGUGCACACUGGAGAAAAACCUCAUGGAUGCAGUAUAUGUGGGAAAGCCUUCUCCAGAAAGUCCAGGCUCACUGAACACCAGAAAACCCAUAUAGGAGAGAAACGGUAUACAUGCACUGAAUGUGACAAAGCCUUUCCCAAGAAAUCACGGCUGCUUAUUCAUCAGAAAACUCAUACAGGAGAAAAACCCUACGUAUGCGAGGAAUGUGGAAAAGGCUUCAUCAAGAAGUCUCGGCUCAUUAAUCAUCAGAGAGUUCAUACAGGAGAGAAACCUCAUGGGUGCAGUCUAUGCGACAAAGCAUUCUCCAGGAAGUCCCGGCUCAUCGAACAUCAGAGAACUCAUACGGGAGAAAAACCAUAUGAAUGCACUGAAUGUGACAAAGCCUUCCGCUGGAAAUCACAGCUUAAUGCACACCAGAAAACUCAUACAGGAGAGAAAUCAUAUAUAUGCAGUGAUUGUGGAAAAGGCUUCAUUCAGAAGGGCAAUCUCAUUGUACAUCAGCGAACUCACACUGGAGAGAAACCCUAUGUGUGCAAUGAAUGUGGAAAAGGCUUCAUCCAGAAGGGCAAUCUCCUCAUACAUCAACGAACUCACACUGGAGAGAAACCCUAUGUAUGCACUGAAUGUGGGAAAGGCUUCAGCCAGAAAACAUGCCUCAUCUCACAUCAGAGAUUUCACACUGGAAAGACUCCCUUUGUAUGUACCGAAUGUGGAAAAUCAUGUUCACACAAGUCUGGCCUCAUUAACCAUCAGAGAAUUCACACAGGAGAGAAACCGUACACAUGCAAUGACUGUGGGAAAGCCUUCAGGGAUAAGUCAUGCCUCAAUAGACAUCGGAGAACUCAUACAGGAGAGAGACCCUAUGGAUGCACUGACUGUGGGAAAGCCUUCUCCCACUUGUCAUGUCUCGUGUACCACAAAGGGAUGCUGCAUGCAAGAGAGAAACGUGGAGAUUCGGUCAAGUUGGAAAAUCCUUUCUCAGAGAGUCCCAACUCAUCACGUUCGAGUGAUAUUGUACAGGGGAAAAACCCUAUUAAUGUGGUGAGCGUGAACACACCUUCUGUGGCAGCUCAGACUCCAUUCCACAGUGAUGGGUUCCUAGCAGAUAGGAAUGUAGUAGCCCUUGUGGGACAGCCAGGUGCCACAGGUGCAGUGUCAGCAGAUAAUAGCAUUUGCAUGGAAGAAAAACCUAAUGAAUGCAGUGAGUGUGGUAGUACCUUCAGUGAUCAAUUACAUCAUAUUUUACAUCACAGAAAACACACAGAAAUAAACUGUGAUACAGUGAAGGUGGAAAACCCUUUCAUGGCGUCUUUCCCAGUGAAAUCGUCCAUCUGGGUUCCCGAAUGUGCUGCCCAGGCCUGCCCUGAGAACCAGGUGCUGAACUCACCUUUCAGAGGUUGGCAUUCCAGGACCGUGUUGUGCCAGGAAUCCCUGACAUAUGAUGACAUGGCUAUGAAGUUCACGUGGGAGGAGUGGCAGCUCCUGGACCCCAAUCAGAAGGACCCGUACCCAGAUGUGAUGCUGGAGAACCAUAGCAACCUGGUGUCUUGUGGGAUGGGCUGGGUAAGGAGCACGGUUGGGAAGAGACUGACAACGUCCACCGUUUCCGCUCACUUUGCGAUCGCUGCAUCCCCUGUACUGUCAGUUUUCCAAACCUUGGUCUUCCCCAAACACUUCCAUCUGCCAGUUCCACGCCGAGCUCCGCAGACAGCAUUUGCCCCGCAGUACGGACACCAAAUCUCCUCUAAGAUGGCGGCGUCCACGGGGCUGAGGUACCAGGAAACAGAGUUUUCAGCCGUGGUCUCUCAGCGGCCGCCACGCCUUCUGUACGUCAGGUGCGCAAAGAUGGCGACCCCAGGGCGCCGAGUCUGUGGUGGCGGCGCGGACGUAUUACCUCAUAAGGAAAAGCCGGAAACCCCCAAUCCGUUCACCAUAGAAACGCGGAACCUAAGUUUUUGUUUUUCCAAAUGGAUCUAUAUCUCACGUGAAAAAAUUUAGAAGGUGGUAAAAUCAAGUGAAACCCUGUCAUUCAAGGAUGUGGCCGUGGACUUCACGUGGGAGGAGUGGCAGCUCCUGGCCCCUCCUCAGAAGGACCUGUACCGGGACGUGAUGCUGGAGAACUAUAGCAACCUGCUGUCCGUGGGGUAUCGGGUCAGCAAACCAGAUGCAAUGUCCAAGUUGGAACGAGGGGAAGAACCGUGGACAAUAGAAGAUGAAAUCCACAGUCAAACCUGUCCAGAAACUGGCAACGUUGGUAAUCAUCUUCAGGGUGACUGGGAAAAUCAAAGAAUGCUGAAAGGUAUAGAACAAUACCAGGAACAUAAUGCAUUUGGAAAUCCUGUUCCUCAAAGCAAAAGUCAUUUCUCUUUCAGGCAAAAUCAUGAUAUGUUUGAGUUCUAUAUAAAAACUUUGAAAUCACAUUUAAGUUUAGUCAGGCAGGGCCAAAGCUAUGAAAUUAAGAACUCUACUAAAUGUAAUGGAGAUGGGAAAUCAUUUCUGCAUGGUAAGCAUGAAGAAUUUCAUUCUCCAGUUCAAUGCCCUGUAAGUGCAAAAUCCAUCAGUAGUAAGUCCCAAGUCAUUAAGCACCAAGGAACUCACAACACAGAGAAAGCCCACAUAUGCAGUGAAUGUGGGAAAGCCUUUGUUAAGAAGUCUCAGCUCACUGACCAUCAGAGAGUUCAUACAGGAGAGAAACCUUAUGGAUGCAGUAUGUGUGCAAAAGUAUUCUCCCGAAAAUCCAGGCUCAAUGAACAUCAGAGAAUUCACAAGAGAGAGAAAUCCUUUAUAUGCGGUGAUUGUGGAAAAGUCUUCACCAUGAAAAGCCGUCUGAUCGAACACCAGCGAACUCACACUGGAGAGAAACCUUACAUAUGCAGUGACUGUGGAAAAGGCUUCCCAGGGAAGCGUAACCUCAUUGUACAUCAGCGAAAUCAUACUGGAGAGAAAUGCUACGUAUGUAAUGAAUGCGGAAAAGGCUUCACUGGGAAGAGCAUGCUUACUAUACACCAGCGAACUCAUACAGGAGAGAAACCCUACAUCUGCAGUGAAUGUGGGAAAGGCUUUACCACAAAGCACUAUGUCAUCAUACACCAACGAAACCAUACAGGAGAGAAACCCUACAUAUGCAAUGAAUGUGGGAAAGGUUUCACCAUGAAGAGUCGUCUGAUUGAACAUCAGCGAACUCAUACAGGAGAGAAGCCGUAUGUGUGCAAUGAAUGUGGAAAAGGCUUUCCCAGGAAGAAUAAUCUGAUUGUACAUCAGAGAAAUCAUACAGUAGAGAAAUCCUACGUAUGUGGUGAAUGUGGAAAAGGCUUCACUGUGAAGAGCAUGCUCAUCAUACAUCAACGAACUCACACUGGAGAGAAACCCUACAUCUGCAGUGAAUGUGGGAAAGGCUUCCCGUUGAAGAGUCGGCUUGUUGUGCAUCAGCGAACGCAUACGGGUGAGAAACCUUAUAGAUGCAGCGAAUGUGGGAAAGGCUUCAUCGUGAAUAGCGGACUGAUGUUACAUCAGCGAACUCACACUGGAGAGAAGCCUUAUAUAUGCAAUAAAUGUGGAAAAGGGUUUGCCUUUAAGAGCAAUCUUGUGGUACAUCAGCGAACUCAUACUGGAGAGAAACCCUUUACAUGCAGUGAGUGUGGAAAAGGCUUCACAAUGAAACGCUAUCUCAUCAUACACCAGCAAAUUCAUAUGGGAGAGAAGUCCUAUAUAUGCAGUGAAUGUGGAAAAGGUUUUGUCAUGGAAACAGAGCUCAUUUUACAUCAGCAAAUUCAUACUGGAGAGAAACCUUAUGCCUGCAAUGAAUGUGGCAGAGGCUUCACUAUGAAAAGCCGUCUAGUCGUUCAUCAGCGAACUCAUACAGGAGAGAAACCUUUUGUAUGCAGUGAAUGUGGAAAAACCUACAGGAAGAAAAUAUGCCUUGUCCAACAUCAGAGGGUUUCACACAGGAUAAACUACCUUUAUAUGUACUGACUAUGGAAAAUCCUAUUCAUAAUUGGUAUUGGUUUCAUUACCCACCAGAAAAUUUACACAGGAGACAAACUGUAUGUAUGCAAUUAAUGUGAGAAAGCCUUCAACACAAAUUCAGCACCCGUUGUACAUCAGAGAACUCAUAAAAGAGAGAGACUCUGUGGAUUCAGCAAUUGGGGGUAACCUUUCUCUCAUUUGUCAAGCCUUGUUAAUACACACGAGAAACGUAUAAGUCAAGGUAUUGAUAAAAGCAUUGAGAGGGCCAGGAAUGAUUCCGAUGUCUUCCUACAGCCGUUAUGGCCCCCGCCCGUCGGAAACGCCGAGGUGGGCGGGGCCAUGCUACGUCAUAGAGCGGAGCGCGCGGUCGGAAUUCGGAAAUCCGGCAGCGCUCCAAGGUCCUUGCCAGAUUGCCUGGUCCUAGCCGGUCUGCGUUCCUAG